This 497-nucleotide ribosomal RNA is filed under the name uncultured bacterium. RNAcentral's name for it is "partial 16S ribosomal RNA". It matches the Rfam family "Bacterial small subunit ribosomal RNA", at positions 28 to 507 of the family's 1533-position model. The record is from RNAcentral.
GAUGAACGCUGGCGGCGUGCCUAAUACAUGCAAGUCGAGCGAACAGACGAGGAGCUUGCUCCUCUGACGUUAGCGGCGGACGGGUGAGUAACACGUGGAUAACCUACCUAUAAGACUGGGAUAACUUCGGGAAACCGGAGCUAAUACCGGAUAAUAUAUUGAACCGCAUGGUUCAAUAGUGAAAGACGGUUUUGCUGUCACUUAUAGAUGGAUACGCGCCGCAUUAGCUAGUUGGUAAGGUAACGGCUUACCAAGGCAACGAUGCGUAGCCGACCUGAGAGGGGGAUCGGCCACACUGGAACUGAGACAGGGUCCAGGGUCCUGCGAGAGGCAGCAGUCUGGAAUCUUCCGCAGUGGGGGAAAGCCUGACGGAGCAACGCCGAGUGAGUGAUGAAGGUCUUCGGAUCGUAAAACUCUGUUAUUAGGGAAGAACAAAUGUGUAAGUAACUAUGCACGUCUUGACGGUACCUAAUCAGAAAGCCACGGCUAACUACGUG